GGAGACUGCCAGUGAUAAACUGGAGGAAGGUGGGGAUGACGUCAAGUCAUCAUGGCCCUUACGACCAGGGCUACACACGUGCUACAAUGGCGCAUACAAAGAGAAGCGACCUCGCGAGAGCAAGCGGACCUCAUAAAGUGCGUCGUAGUCCGGAUUGGAGUCUGCAACUCGACUCCAUGAAGUCGGAAUCGCUAGUAAUCGUGGAUCAGAAUGCCACGGUGAAUACGUUCCCGGGCCUU
Molecule: ribosomal RNA, 239 nt
Filed under: uncultured Enterobacteriaceae bacterium
Lineage: Bacteria; Pseudomonadati; Pseudomonadota; Gammaproteobacteria; Enterobacterales; Enterobacteriaceae
Description: partial 16S ribosomal RNA
Rfam family: Bacterial small subunit ribosomal RNA
Source: RNAcentral